UACGUAGGGUGCAAGCGUUAAUCGGAAUUACUGGGCGUAAAGCGUGCGCAGGCGGUGAUGUAAGACAGUUGUGAAAUCCCCGGGCUCAACCUGGGAACUGCAUCUGUGACUGCAUCGCUGGAGUACGGUAGAGGGGGAUGGAAUUCCGCGUGUAGCAGUGAAAUGCGUAGAUAUGCGGAGGAACACCGAUGGCGAAGGCAAUCCCCUGGACCUGUACUGACGCUCAUGCACGAAAGC
Molecule: ribosomal RNA, 237 nt
Filed under: uncultured bacterium
Lineage: Bacteria
Description: partial 16S ribosomal RNA
Rfam family: Bacterial small subunit ribosomal RNA
Source: RNAcentral